CCCGCCGAUCAUUUGGUAUUUCCAUUUUUCAGAAAGUAUCGUAAAACAAGACAUCGAUAGAGCUUCCAUUAUCGAUUAGGACACGGCAUAUAUCAUAAUUUACAAUAUUUAAGUUAUAACAAUUGCAUCAUUGUGUGGGAACUAAAUUCCCUAGGCAUUCUUCUUAGUGAAGGUUAUCAACUCCCCAGUCCUCUACCUUUUCGCUGCCUCCUUGUCCCUAUCGAGUCCUCCAUCUCGAUGCCCCCCAGUAAUGGCAUUAAUUAUGCCGGCUGGGGGUUGGUCUUCCUACGGCCCUACAUGUCA
RNAcentral lists this long non-coding RNA (303 nucleotides) under Elaeis guineensis (African oil palm). Its description in RNAcentral is "long non-coding RNA (EGUI_LNC027062)". Lineage: Eukaryota; Viridiplantae; Streptophyta; Magnoliopsida; Arecales; Arecaceae. The record is from RNAcentral.